CCUACGGGAGGCUGCAGUGGGGAAUAUUGGACAAUGGGCGAAAGCCUGAUCCAGCCAUGCCGCGUGUGUGAAGAAGGCCUUCGGGUUGUAAAGCACUUUCAGUGGGGAAGAAAGCCUUGGGGCUAAUACCCUCGAGGAAGGACAUCACCCACAGAAGAAGCACCGGCUAACUCCGUGCCAGCAGCCGCGGUAAUACGGAGGGUGCGAGCGUUAAUCGGAAUUACUGGGCGUAAAGCGCGCGUAGGCGGUCUGAUAAGCCGGUUGUGAAAGCCCCGGGCUCAACCUAGGAACGGCAUCCGGAACUGUCAGGCUAGAGUGCAGGAGAGGAAGGUAGAAUUCCCGGUGUAGCGGUGAAAUGCGUAGAGAUCGGGAGGAAUACCAGUGGCGAAGGCGGCCUUCUGGACUGACACUGACGCUGAGGUGCGAAAGCGUGGGUAGCAAACAGGAUUAGAUACCCCUGUAGUC
This 465-nucleotide ribosomal RNA is filed under the name Vreelandella stevensii. Its description in RNAcentral is "partial 16S ribosomal RNA". It matches the Rfam family "Bacterial small subunit ribosomal RNA", at positions 338 to 795 of the family's 1533-position model. Lineage: Bacteria; Pseudomonadati; Pseudomonadota; Gammaproteobacteria; Oceanospirillales; Halomonadaceae. The record is from RNAcentral.